Long non-coding RNA from Hydra vulgaris (swiftwater hydra), 320 nucleotides. RefSeq lists it as uncharacterized. Lineage: Eukaryota; Metazoa; Cnidaria; Hydrozoa; Anthoathecata; Hydridae. The record is from RefSeq and is a predicted model, not a curated record.
UUAUUUUAUUUAGAAAAAAUAGAAGAUUCUGUUGAGAAUCUAAAAAAAUUAGAACAUUCAAUGGGGCUUAUAUUUCAACAACUUAAAAAUUUAGAAAAUUCAAUUGGUAAGCAAAGUACACUUAUGUUUCUUAUUGUUUAAUUUUAACACACAUUUUUUGAUGUUUGUGUGCGGUUUUAUCACUCUAAAAAAAACUGUUUAAUUGAUUAGUAUAUGUUAGUUUAUCUAAAUAUAUUUUUUACCUCCACUAUAGCGUCAUCUGCAGUACCAUCAGGUAAUGUGUUUUGCAUUCUUAUGCAGUUUUAAGAGUGUUAUGUGUG